UUAAAAGUGAUAGGCCUCCU
RNAcentral lists this non-coding RNA (20 nucleotides) under Mus musculus (house mouse). Lineage: Eukaryota; Metazoa; Chordata; Mammalia; Rodentia; Muridae. The record is from RNAcentral.